This 537-nucleotide ribosomal RNA is filed under the name Triticum aestivum (bread wheat). Its description in RNAcentral is "partial small subunit ribosomal RNA". The record is from RNAcentral. Lineage: Eukaryota; Viridiplantae; Streptophyta; Magnoliopsida; Poales; Poaceae.
AUGGACUCCCCGCAAAAGAAGCUCGGAUCCACCAUGGACGGAGAGAUGCCACAUCUGCUGCCUGUGACUGUGAGCGAGACCGUGUCCAACUCCAAGGAGACGCGGGCCGCUCCUCCUCCGGACGCUGUCGUGAUUGUCAGCGAGUGGGCGUUCUACCCCGGCUUCAUCGCCUUUCUCUUCUACACCCUGCAUUAUGCAAUCACUUCCGCACUGUCCUUGUUCUUUCUGCUGACGGGCGCGGAGGCGGAGGCCGCCAAGGUGAGCGUCCUACACGUCGGGAUGCUGUGCUUUGCCGCACUCCAGGUGGCCGCGGCGGCGGUGGCUCUGCGGCUCCCGCGCCGCCGCGGCUGGGUCCGCUACGCCUUCGCCUACCUCGCCCUCGCGCUCGCCAUCGUCGGCCACUGCAUGUUCGCCGCUGGAGACCACUUCUUCAGGAUCUUGCGCACCGUCGGCAUCUUCAUCUACGCUGCGGGCGAUGUCCUCUGCUUCCUGGCCCUCCUCCUCGACCUCCUCGGCCUCCUGGGAGGUGAGAAGUAG